This 1731-nucleotide ribosomal RNA is filed under the name Pirellulaceae bacterium. RNAcentral's name for it is "partial 23S ribosomal RNA". It matches the Rfam family "Bacterial large subunit ribosomal RNA", at positions 1126 to 2873 of the family's 2925-position model. The record is from RNAcentral. Lineage: Bacteria; Pseudomonadati; Planctomycetota; Planctomycetia; Pirellulales; Pirellulaceae.
AGGAGUGCGUAAUAGCUAACUGGUCGAGCGAUCCUGCGCCUAAAAUGAACGGGGAUAAGCGUUAAACCGAAGCUGCGGAUAAAGUUAUGUAGGGUAGGGGAGCGUUCUAUGUAGGGUGAAGCGUUAGCGUAAGCGGACGUGGACAGCAUAGAAGUGAGAAUGUCGGCUUGAGUAGCGAAAACAUGGGUGAGAAUCCCAUGCCCCGAAAACCUAAGGUUUCCUUCGGAAGGCUCGUCCGCGGAGGGUUAGUCUGGACCUAAGGCGAGGCCGAAAGGCGUAGUCGAUGGAUAACAGGUCAAUAUUCCUGUACCAGAUGUGUUUUGAGAAGGGGGACGGAGAAGGCUAACCAGGCCAGAUGUUGGUUACUGGUUCAAGCGUUCGAGGCUUUGAGAGAUGGAGAAAACAUCUUGAGCUAAGGCGUGAGUACGAGCUGCUACGGCAGCGAAGUUGGUGAUGUCAUGCUUCCAAGAAAAGCCCUAUACUCGUUAAGACACAAAUGCCAGUACCCGAAACCGACACAGGUGGGGUGGUAGAGAAUACCGAGGGGCGCGAGAUAACUCUCUCUAAGGAACUCGGCAAAAUGGCCCCGUAACUUCGGGAGAAGGGGUGCCAGCGAGAGCUGGUCGCAGUGAAGAGGCGCAAGCGACUGUUUACCAAAAACACAGGUCUCCGCUAAGUCGCAAGACGAUGUAUGGGGGCUGACACCUGCCCAGUGCCGGAAGGUUAAGGAAGCUGGUUAGCUUUUAGUGAAGCUGGCGACUGAAGCCCCGGUGAACGGCGGCCGUAACUAUAACGGUCCUAAGGUAGCGAAAUUCCUUGUCGGGUAAGUUCCGACCCGCACGAAAGGUGUAACGAUUUGCGCGCUGUCUCGGAGAGAGGCUCGGCGAAAUAGAAUUGUCUGUGAAGAUGCGGACUACAUACACCCGGACAGAAAGACCCUAUGAAGCUUUACUGUAGUUUGAUAUUGUGCUCGGGCUCUGAAUGCGCAGAAUAGGUGGGAGACGUUGAAAUAGUGCUUGUGGGUACUAUUGAGUCAUCGGUGAGAUACCACUCUUUUAGAGCUAGGGUUCUAACGCUUACCCGUUAUCCGGGAAGCGGACAGUAUCUGAUGGGCAGUUUGACUGGGGCGGUCUCCUCCUAAAGAGUAACGGAGGAACGCGAUGGUACCCUCAAUACGGUUGGAAAUCGUAUGAUGCGUGUAAAGGCAUAAGGGUGCUUGACUGCGAGACAGACAAGUCGAGCAGGUACGAAAGUCGGUCAUAGUGAUCCGGUGGUUCUGCGUGGAAGGGCCAUCGCUCAACGGAUAAAAGGUACGCCGGGGAUAACAGGCUGAUACCGCCCAAGAGUUCAUAUCGACGGCGGUGUUUGGCACCUCGAUGUCGGCUCAUCACAUCCUGGGGCUGGAGCAGGUCCCAAGGGUAUGGCUGUUCGCCAUUUAAAGUGGUNNNNNNNNNNAGCUGGGUUUAGAACGUCGUGAGACAGUUCGGUCCCUAUCUACCGUGCGCGUUUGAUAUUUGAUGGAUGUUGCUCCUAGUACGAGAGGACCGGAGUGAACCUAUCCCUGGUGUUCCAGUUGUCUCACCAGAGGCAUUGCUGGGUAGCUAUAUAGGGUUGUGAUAACCGCUGAAAGCAUCUAAGCGGGAAGCCAUACCAAAGAUUAGAUAUCACUGGACCUUUAAGGUCCCUAAAGAUCCGUUGUAGACUACGACGUUGAUAGGCUAGGUGUGGAAG